AGUGAACGCUGGCGGUAGGCCUAACACAUGCAAGUCGAACGGCAGCACAGUAAGAGCUUGCUCUUACGGGUGGCGAGUGGCGGACGGGUGAGGAAUACAUCGGAAUCUACUUUUUCGUGGGGGAUAACGUAGGGAAACUUACGCUAAUACCGCAUACGACCUACGGUUGAAAGCAGGGGAUCUUCGGACCUUGCGCGAUUGAAUGAGCCGAUGUCGGAUUAGCUAGUUGGCGGGGUAAAGGCCCACCAAGGCGACGAUCCGUAGCUGGUCUGAGAGGAUGAUCAGCCACACUGGAACUGAGACACGGUCCAGACUCCUACGGGAGGCAGCAGUGGGGAAUAUUGGACAAUGGGCGCAAGCCUGAUCCAGCCAUACCGCGUGGGUGAAGAAGGCCUUCGGGUUGUAAAGCCCUUUUGUUGGGAAAGAAAAGCAGCAGGUUAAUACCCCGCUGUUCUGACGGUACCCAAAGAAUAAGCACAGGCUAACUUCGUG
This 492-nucleotide ribosomal RNA is filed under the name uncultured bacterium. RNAcentral's name for it is "partial 16S ribosomal RNA". It matches the Rfam family "Bacterial small subunit ribosomal RNA", at positions 29 to 507 of the family's 1533-position model. The record is from RNAcentral.